This 1033-nucleotide long non-coding RNA is filed under the name Vulpes vulpes (red fox). RNAcentral's name for it is "lncRNA (ENSVVUG00000017794.1)". The record is from RNAcentral. Lineage: Eukaryota; Metazoa; Chordata; Mammalia; Carnivora; Canidae.
UCUGCCUAUAUUAAUCUAUUUGAUAGUUUCUGUAAAAAAAAAAAAAAGAAAAAAAAUAGUAAAAUAAAAUAGGGCACAAGAAAUUCAAUCCAAGUGUGAGUCCAAAAUAUGUAUAUGCAUGGAUUUGCCCUUGUGCACUUUCUUCGCCCUCGUCCCCGUGUUCUUCCUGGCCACGCCGUUCCAGGGGGAAGCUGAUGGGGAAGACAGCCCGGAGGAUCUCCACUACUAUUUGCACGUGUUCCUGGAGAAAGACUAUGGAGUUUUGUUGGGUGAGAUCACUGAGAAAUCAGGACAAAGUAAUUCCAUGUUCCCAGCUUGAUGAAAGUAUGGAAGAAGAACAGAUUUCUCUGCUGUUGGUUCAGUGAGGAAACAAGAAAGCACUGUUUUGAGGUCCCCCAUCACCUCCCAGCCAGCUCAUCCAGUUGCACCCCUGACAGUGAGCCAGGCCGGCUGCUAGGCAUGGAGGAGGAGGCCCAGCCCCACACUCACAGCCUAGUGUGGAAAUAGGCAUGUAAACAAAUAUCCACAAUACAGCAAGAUGCAAUAAGCACUGAUCCAAAUGGAUUUCUGAGGUUGCAAGAUAAAGUAAGCAAAUGUGCUUGGGCUGAGAGAGAGGGAAGAUCCCAGAGAGGACAUGACCUUUAAGGAGAGACCCGGAAAAAACAACGAAGAAAAAGAUACUCAGGAUAAGUUGUGCUGAUGGAGAGGGUAUGGUCGCUUUAGACAGAGUGCACCCCCCCCCCCCCAGCAAAGGCACGGUGUCAUCACAAAGCAUGGCUAAGAUAUAGGGUAUAAGUUGGGGGUAGAAAGAGAUCCAGCAGAAAAAGUCAGUAGGGCCAAAUAGUGAAGGACUUCAUGUACCAAAGCCUGGUUAAGAAGCAUCAAAUUGGGGCACCUGGGUAGCUCAGUGGUUGAGCUUCUGCCUUUGGCUAGGGUCGUGAUCCCAGGUUCCUGGGAUCAAGUCCCGCUUGGGGCUCCCCGCAAGGAGCCUGCUUCUCCCUCUACCUGUCUCUGUGUAUCUCUCAUGAGUAAA